Galeopterus variegatus (Sunda flying lemur) is the source of this 563-nucleotide long non-coding RNA. RefSeq lists it as uncharacterized. Lineage: Eukaryota; Metazoa; Chordata; Mammalia; Dermoptera; Cynocephalidae. The record is from RefSeq and is a predicted model, not a curated record. The transcript is spliced from 3 exons.
UCCACGGGCGCUUCUUUCCGCUGAAAUGCGAGCAUUGCCCUCGCGGCCCGAGUGCCUCUGGCGUGUGCGUGCUCCUGUGUGUGCUGCGCCGCUGUCACCGCAGAUGUACCCCAGCUGUCAUCCACUGCUCCGACUCCCGCUCCUCCUCCCUCUGCCCGCGCUUCCCCUCUCCUGUCUCCCGCGCCUUCCUGCCUCUCCCUCUCAGUUUGUUAUUGACCCGGCAGCCCCGGCAGCCCCGGCCCUCGGCAGCCAGCACUGUGUGCUGCGUGCCAGGUCCUGCUCCCUGUGAGCGAGGGGACUCCAGCGGCAUCAGCGCUGCUGCAUGGCUUGGUGGCAGUGUCUCCCCGGGAGGUCGAGAGCUACCUGAUUCAAGGAGCUCAAGAGAGUCCACAGGCCUGGACAGGCGCCGCAUGGUCAAGAAUAAGAAACAAUCCCAUGUGUGAGGUUGGAUGUGACACAGACCUGCUGGCCCCUGCCCAAGUCACCUAAAUUCCUAAGCUGCUGCAGCAUGAACCCCUGAACUGAUGAGUCUUAUUAUAGACCGGCUGGCGGAAGACAGAGCA